CCUACGGGCGGCAGCAGUGAGGAAUAUUGGUCAAUGGGCGUAAGCCUGAACCAGCCAAGUCGCGUGAGGGAUGAAGGCCCUACGGGUCGUAAACCUCUUUUGUCCGGGGACAACACCCGCUACGUGUGGCCGGAUGCAGGUACCGUGCGAAUAAGGGCCGGCUAACUCCGUGCCAGCAGCCGCGGUAAUACGGAAGGCGCGAGCGUUAUCCGGAUUUAUUGGGGUUAAAGGGAGCGUAGGCGGGCUUUCAAGUCAGCGGUAAAAUCCCGGGGCUCAACCGCGGCCCGCCGUUGAAACUGGACGUCUUGAGUGGGCGAGAGGUAGGCGGAAGGCGUGGUGUAGCGGUGAAAUGCAUAGAUAUCACGAAGAACUCCGAUUGCGAAGGCAGCAUGCCGGCGCCCGACUGACGCUGAGGCACGAAAGCGCGGGUAUCGAACAGGAUUAGAUACCCUGGUAGUC
RNAcentral lists this ribosomal RNA (459 nucleotides) under uncultured bacterium. Its description in RNAcentral is "partial 16S ribosomal RNA". It matches the Rfam family "Bacterial small subunit ribosomal RNA", at positions 338 to 795 of the family's 1533-position model. The record is from RNAcentral.